Molecule: ribosomal RNA, 469 nt
Filed under: uncultured bacterium
Lineage: Bacteria
Description: SSU rRNA
Rfam family: Bacterial small subunit ribosomal RNA
Source: RNAcentral
GGCUUAGAGUUUGAUCCUGGCUCAGAGUGAACGCUGGCGGCGUGGAUUAGGCAUGCAAGUCGAGCGAUCCCGCAAGGGAUAGCGGCAAACGGGUGAGGAACACGUAAGUAAUCUUCCCCUUAUCCGGACAUAGCCCUAUGAAAAUAGGGGUAAUAUCCGAUGACACCAUAGGAUUGCAUAAUCUUAUGUUUAAAGACGGGGACCGCAAGGCCUGUCGAUAAGGGAUGAGCUUGCGUAGCAUCAGCUAGUUGGCAGGGUAACGGCCUACCAAGGCUAUGACGCUUAGCUGGUCUGAGAGGAUGGUCAGCCACACUGGGACUGAGACACUGCCCAGACUCCUACGGGAGGCUGCAGUCGAGAAUCUUUAGCAAUGGGCGAAAGCCUGACUAUGCGACGCCGCGUGAGGGAUGAAGGUUUUCGGAUCGUAAACCUCUUUUGGCAGGGAAGAAAAUAAUCCGUUUAAUAGACG